RNAcentral lists this non-coding RNA (52 nucleotides) under unclassified sequences. Its description in RNAcentral is "6A RNA". It matches the Rfam family "6A RNA". From Rfam's summary of the family: Actinobacteria (1 example), Firmicutes, Fusobacteria. Terminator (Clostridia) The record is from Rfam by way of RNAcentral.
AGAUAAGGACGUAGAGCCACGCCCUUGUAAAACUAAAAAAAGCUCACUGAGA